CUGAAAAAGAAACCUUUCACCUCUUGUUUAUGAACUGCAGUAAACAGCAUUAGAAUACAUGAUAAGAUAUCAAUAUAGUAAUUAUGCCAUGCAGAUUAUUUAUUGACAAAGGUAACAAGAGUUCAAAAUGCACAAUGAUUGUUUUCUGCUUAACUUGCUCACUUGCUAAUGUUCUAGUAAUCAUGCAAUGCUUGGGGAACAUGGUUUUCAUAAGUGUAAUUAAAGGAACACUCAAAGCACCAUGCCCUUGUGCCCCCUUCCCCCAAAGUAAUAAAACCCUUAAGUUAUAGUUGGAUUGUUUACUGGUUGUUACUCCAAGCCUACUCUCAGCCUUCACAAGCGUCAAAAGCUCUUGCUCAGGCAUGACUUCUAGCUCUCCCAAGCUAAGUCCUGCAGUGAUUGCGUAUAGCCAAUGUGCCAAGCUCUGCACCUCCGAGCUUAAAGGACCACUAUAGUGCCAGGAAAACAUACUUGUUUUCCUGGCACUACA
Molecule: non-coding RNA, 490 nt
Organism: Pelobates cultripes (western spadefoot toad)
Lineage: Eukaryota; Metazoa; Chordata; Amphibia; Anura; Pelobatidae
Source: the annotation of a GenBank genome assembly